RNAcentral lists this ribosomal RNA (253 nucleotides) under uncultured bacterium. Its description in RNAcentral is "partial 16S ribosomal RNA". It matches the Rfam family "Bacterial small subunit ribosomal RNA", at positions 524 to 776 of the family's 1533-position model. The record is from RNAcentral.
UACGAAGGUGGCAAGCGUUGUUCGGAUUUACUGGGCGUAAAGAGCGCGUAGGCGGAAAUUUAAGCGUGGCCUGAAAGCCCCCGGCUCAACCGGGGAGUGCGGCUGCGAACUGGGUUUCUUGAGGACGAUAGAGGAGAGUGGAAUUCCUGGUGUAGCGGUGAAAUGCGUAGAUAUCAGGAGGAACACCCGAGGCGAAGGCGGCUCUCUGGGUCGUACCUGACGCUGAGGCGCGAAAGCGUGGGGAGCGAACGGG